AUGUUUCUGAUAGACUUAGGUCAAACAGCAAUAAUCCUCCUUUACGUUCCUACAGAAUCCAUUUCUCCACCGUCUCAGAUACCUGAACUACAGACUACUCUUGCUGGCAACGUCAGAUUAAAGUGUAAUUAUGAUGUGCAUUGUCGCAAAACGUUACACUGGUAUCGGCAGCUUCCAGGACAGCCACUCAUACAUCUGCUCCAGAGACAAACUUAUGGAGAACAAGAUGAAAUAAAAAUCGCCGGUGAACGAAUUACUGCUGUUCUAGAUCCUAAUAAGAAAAUCAGCCAGCUGACGAUCACAAAAGUGCAACUGAGCGACGCUGCAGUGUUUUACUGCGCAAUUAGUACGUUCCCAGCACUGUGA
This is a non-coding RNA of Hypanus sabinus (Atlantic stingray), 366 nucleotides long. The record is from the annotation of a RefSeq genome assembly. NCBI's taxonomy places the organism in Eukaryota, Metazoa, Chordata, Chondrichthyes, Myliobatiformes, Dasyatidae.